This 253-nucleotide ribosomal RNA is filed under the name uncultured bacterium. RNAcentral describes it as "partial 16S ribosomal RNA". It matches the Rfam family "Bacterial small subunit ribosomal RNA", at positions 524 to 776 of the family's 1533-position model. The record is from RNAcentral.
UACGGAGGGGGCUAGCGUUGUUCGGAAUUACUGGGCGUAAAGCGCACGUAGGCGGCUUUGUAAGUUAGAGGUGAAAGCCCAGAGCUCAACUCUGGAAUUGCCUUUAAGACUGUAUCGCUUGAACACGGGAGAGGUGAGUGGAAUUCCGAGUGUAGAGGUGAAAAUCGUAGAUAUUCGGAAGAACACCAGUGGCGAAGGCGACUCACUGGACCGUUGUUGACGCUGAGGAGCGAAAGCGUGGGGAGCGAACAGG